Molecule: ribosomal RNA, 254 nt
Filed under: uncultured bacterium
Lineage: Bacteria
Description: partial 16S ribosomal RNA
Rfam family: Bacterial small subunit ribosomal RNA
Source: RNAcentral
UACGUAGGGUGCGAGCGUUGUCCGGAAUUAUUGGGCGUAAAGAGCUCGUAGGCGGUUUGUCGCGUCUGCCGUGAAAGUCCGGGGCUCAACUCCGGAUCUGCGGUGGGUACGGGCAGACUAGAGUGAUGUAGGGGAGACUGGAAUUCCUGGUGUAGCGGUGAAAUGCGCAGAUAUCAGGAGGAACACCGAUGGCGAAGGCAGGUCUCUGGGCAUUAACUGACGCUGAGGAGCGAAAGCGUGGGGAGCGAACAGGA